This 2871-nucleotide unclassified non-coding RNA is filed under the name Acyrthosiphon pisum (pea aphid). RNAcentral describes it as "uncharacterized LOC100570052, transcript variant X4". Lineage: Eukaryota; Metazoa; Arthropoda; Insecta; Hemiptera; Aphididae. The record is from RNAcentral.
UUGUUGUUUGAAUGCCCGAUUUUUUUUUAUCUGUAAACACUUGGAAAUUAAUGCAUCUGUCGAAAUUCGAUUACGCAUAUUUUCCACUCAUGUUUAAUGUAUUUACCAAACGACGAUAUUAGCUUAUGUAGUUUCUCAAAGUACCUAUAUAGACAAUAUAAUAACAGUGGGGCCUGUAUAAAAAUCAUUUAAAUAAUUCGUGUACAAUGUUUUUUUUUUACAUAUUUUAUGCUGACUCAAAAUCGUCAAGAAUUGAAUUUCUGACAAUUAUGUACUAAACGUCUUCGUGUACGGUGAUAGUUGUCGCCGAGAUUGUGGUUUAAAAUUUUUCUAAAAACAUUCUUCAAGUAUAGAGUCGUCAUAAGUGUACGUUAGAAUCAUUUUAUUAUAUUAUGUGUAUUGACUACUUACCAACACCUACGUUUUCAAGUUAAUAAAGAAAUAAUAAAAAUGGACAAUUUUCGGCAACGAUUAUGUUUUUCUUCGCCUACAAUAUCAGAUAUUUCAUUGGAUCGAGAACGAAAUAAUGAUGUUGAAGAUUUAAUGGUAUUUUUUGGUACUGACAAAAUAGGAAAUAUGAUUAUAUUAUGCGUUAAUCAAAAUUAUAAUUUAAAACAAUCUAACUCUUUAAUACACAUCCGAGAUCCUACCGGACUAGAAUUCACAAAUCAAGAAACGGAUAGAGGAUCUUAUGAAUUUUCUAGUUGGAAAACACCCAGUCUUCAAUUUCAAUGUACAGUGCCUAUGCGAACAUGGAGAAUUGUAUUCAGUGGUCGUCUAAGAAAUGGUGAGAACUAUUGUCACGUGAAGAUAAAUUUCUUAUGGAAGCCAUUCGGAUUUCCAGUGUACUGCGAUAAAAAUAAUACGUUUUUCAAACAUGAAAUCGACCUUACAGAUCCGGACUACAUCGACAAUUUAUUGGGAUUUGAUCAGUUUGGUCAAAUUACCGGUUCGAUGUUCGUAGAUGGUAAAACAGAAAUGAUUAACAUGCGAGCAAUGAAAUUAAGACGGUGGAAUAUGUCAGUCGAAGACUCUGCGUUUGUUGGAUUUAUGAACAGUGAUAUAAUGUGUUCCGUACAGAAAUUAGAAAGGAUAAACUUCCGUGGCCAUUUAAAAACGUCUUCAGAACACGAAAUACUCCCACCUGAUGGAAUAGAUUUCGUAAGUGAAGAAAACGACAAUAAGACAAUUGAAAUACAUCAUAAAAAUUUCAGUUUAAAUGCAAGUUUAAAAAGCCAAGUGACUGUCAUUUUAAAUACUGUAUCAAUUGAAAUCGUUCUUGGAGACGACUUUAAAGGAAUACUUCUAUGUUUCAAAGAUGUAUAUAAAACUGACAAGAUAGUAAAAUUUGCAGAAGACAUUUCUGUAAACGAUCAUAAAAUUGGCUUGACCGUAAACUUAGCCUCGGUGAUGUGCAUGUCCAGCAAUAUAGUAGGGAACAAAGCAAAAUCUUUGUUCCAAUUAAAAAAAGCAAUCGUUGAUGGUCUGAUUAACGACAUUAUUGUCCCGGACGGUAUAUGCAUAACGACAGUAGCGAUGAGAACUCAUAUAAACGAAAAUAAAAAAUUGUCGAUCGAUUUAAACAACGCGAUCGAAAAAGCAAAGCAGAGCGAUUUCGAACAGAUGGCGGUUUACUGUAAACGGUUGAACGAUCAGUGGCGGUCGACUAAACUGUGCGCUGAGUUGCUAGAGGCGAUUUCGAACGGCGUAAACGAACACCAUGUGUACGCCGUACGUUCGUCUGGAACGUUCGAGGACGGCGAAUCUACGUCCUCUGCCGGCCAAUACGUCACAAUUCUAGGCUGUACCGGUGGUACUUGUAACAUCGGGGAGGCCGUUAUAGAAUGUUGGUCGUCAAAUUUCUCGGCGCGAGCUUUGACAUACCGAAAGAACAACGGACAGCCGUUGAUGUGUGACAUGGCCGUGAUCGUACAAGAACAAGUGAGCGGUCCAGGUGUGGCCGGAGUCGCGUUCUCCAGAGACCCGAAUACCGGCGAUCCCGGGAAGAUCACCGUAGCCGCGAGUUAUGGUCUGGAAAAAGCGGGCGUUGUGUCAGGAUCAGUCGAACCCCACGAGGUUGUUGUUUCUAGACUGCAGUUCGAGGCAGUCGAUGACAAUGUCACUACGUCUGCGGGACUUCUGCAGGCAACAUCAAAUUUUAGAGUUGAAAAUGACAAUGAUGAGAAACCGCUGCAGUGUAUUUCCAAUAAUUUGGCGAAAAAGUUGGCUGACAUCUGCGUCCGAGUGGAAGGCGUAUUUGGUUCGCCGCAGGACAUUGAGUGGGUGGCUGUAGAGGAUCGAGUUUACCUUCUCCAGUCGAGACCGAUCACGUCCAUAUUCGCUUGGAGUAACGACGAAAUCACGCGAGAAUUUGACUCGCCAUUUACGAGCGACGACGUGGUUAUGUUUUACAACGUAAAAGAAGUCUACCCCAACCCUAUGCACACUUUAUCGUUGACUUUGGAUUUCUUUUCAACGUACCCACUGUUUAAAUUGACCGAAGGAGAGCCCACUGAAAUCUACCGCAACAAACAGUUGUCCUACACGCACAACAAUAUGUGUCUUAACGUAUGUCAAGUAGAUGUUUCAAGAUUUAGAACCUGGCAGCGUAUACGUUAAGAUAAUCGAGUACUCGAUAGCCGGCCAAUGUUUCUUAACAAGUGAUAUAUGGGAGAAAAUAUUAUUAAAGAAUCGCAGUUCUACGUUAAAAAAAAUUUUAAAAUCUUUUUCUACAUUUAAGGAAACACUAUACCUUGAAUGGCGAUUAAACGAGACACACAAAUUGAUUUCUAAUGCAAACAUAGAACAUUCAGGCACGGCGUUGGAUCUUUUGAAUAAUAUCAAUAGCGUUGUAGAUGUUUUAGAAAAGGU